Molecule: long non-coding RNA, 1156 nt
Filed under: Athene cunicularia (burrowing owl)
Lineage: Eukaryota; Metazoa; Chordata; Aves; Strigiformes; Strigidae
Description: lncRNA (ENSACUG00000008224.1)
Rfam family: Small nucleolar RNA SNORD93 (bases 498-585)
Source: RNAcentral
UGGCGUCGGCCUCGCAAAUCGGGAGCGACGGACCCAGGCCGGCUCGCCAGAAUCGGGGUGUUUGCUCGAGGGUGAGGGGGUGGCAGAAGCUGUCGGCCUUCUUCAUCUGUCUGUAGGUCCUGCAUUUCUGUGUUUGUGUUUCUUUCCCGGAGCUCGCAAGGUAUGCGCACGCUUUUCACGCCGCCUCUGGAGGCGAGGAAGUGCCUUUUGCUCCUGAGGCGAAUGAAGGAGAAGCAGCAGUCUGAGGUGAGACAGCAUUCAACAGAACCUCAUCAAAUGCUUUUAGAGUCCUUUGAGAAGAACUGCUGUUGUGCUUGAAAAUUUAAUAUUACCUGUUGUAAAACUUUACUGUUGUUUGAAAGUUGACUUUCCCAUUCUCCCUAUCCUCAUUUAAUAAUGAAAAGGGUUACAUUUAAAGAUACUGCUAUCUUUUACCACAGAUAGUUCCUCUAAAAACACAACAGUUCUUAAAUGCAUGGUUUUAUGAUUGCAAUACUUGGCCGAGGAUGAAAACUAUAAUCUGAUUCCUUGCAUACUUUCAGUGAUACGCAAAAAUCUGAUGGAUUAAAGGAUUUUCUGAGGCCAGAACUAAUAUCCAUAUUUGGUCAUUCUUUGUUUUUAAAUUAAGGUCUUUUUUUAACAUCUGAGCAGUGAAGGUUUCAGUAGCUCUAGGAGGAUUUUUCUCUAAAGAUACUUGGAUGUAAACCUUGUCAAUUGAUCUCAACUAGAUUUUUGUUGCUGGAGAAUAUGUUGCUAUAACAGCACACGUCUAUAAAGAUUUUAAAGGACUUAGAAGAUGCUUGUUUUAGUCAAAUGUUUUCUAUGAUUGAAACAAGAUGAGAAAAACAGUGAGUAUAUUCUAAUUUCCAAAACAGUCUUUGCUCUUGUUAUGGUUUUUAUACCAGUUCUGACCUUAGUUCAGUGUAUUAAAGUGAGGCAGCCAUGAAACUGAGAACAUAAGUAUUUGCAAUCAGUUGACAGCAUUGCACAUGAAAAUGAAAUAUUUCUCUUUGAUGCAGAACAAAGAAUGGGAGUGUUUGAAGAAUAAGAAUUGUAAUUAAAAGUCAUAUUCUACUUUCUCUCUUUGGUGAGCAUUUGUUGUAAUAGUCUUUCUUGGCAUCUGUCUACAAAAAAUAAACACGCUGCUGAAACUUUU